Non-coding RNA from Arvicanthis niloticus (Nile rat), 2839 nucleotides. The record is from RefSeq and is a predicted model, not a curated record. Lineage: Eukaryota; Metazoa; Chordata; Mammalia; Rodentia; Muridae.
GCCGCCCUCCCAGAUCUUCCCGCCGAGCCCAGGCGCGGGGCAUGAGGAGCCCCUGGGUGUCGCCUGCAGACAACCCAGCCUCGCGCACACCUCGCCAGUCGCUGACAGGGACAUGAACAGCAUGAUUGGGUUCCGGUGUCCGGCGGCCAUCCUCAGCCAGAGGCGGCCAGUGGGUCUGCGCUGCUUGGGAGAAUGAGGCAGGAACCCACGGCUACCUCUCUCUCCUCUUUCUCCUCGCCUUCCUCUGGCUCCCGCGCCCCGGACCCGGGCCGGGCAGUAGCUCUGCUGCGUGCCCUGCGCGCCCCCCACCUGCCUCCGGAUGCUCUUCUCGGUUAGCCUGGCGAGGAAGAUAAAGACAUUUGCAACCAAGAUGGUAAUCACGAGUGGCAAUGAUGAAGACCGGGGAGGCCAAGAGAAAGAGAGCAAAGAAGAGAGCGUGUUGGCCAUGCUUGGCAUCGUCGGGACCAUCCUGAACCUGAUUGUCAUCAUCUUUGUAUACAUAUAUACCACUCUAUGAAAGGCCCCAUGCAGCCUCAGUGGCCUCAGGAUGGCCAUGAGACAAGGGUCCUGUGUGUCCAUAUCUCGGUGACCACACACUGCUCCAUCAAUGCACCUUCGAACUUUCUGACGGGUCACCAGAUGAACCCGUCCUGCUGUGAGGAGCAGACACUCUGAAGCACAAUGAAUCCAGCGGGACUUAUUCAGGCCACAAGGAACUCAGCACGCCUGGCAGGGGACCAGGCAGGAUGCUGGAAAGACCAGCCUUCUGCACCAUUGGUGAGCAAACGGGUGAGGAAAUGCUUCACCCCGUAGUGCUGACCACAUCCCACACUGGAAAGAGGAUGCGUGGGGCGGACACAGCUUGGCUGCCCUCCUCCCAGGAUCCGUAGGAUAAGUGCUAGGUGUGGUUCGCUGACAGGCAUUCCAUUCAUCAAAUGUUUCCAGCUGUUUGAUACGGGAGAUAACUUAUUUUUCCUUUCUCAUUGGCUUGAUGUGUGUAUCUGUUCAUACCGAGGUUUAUAAAUCUAUAUUUUUAAUAAAUGUGCUCUAUUUUUUAGCAUGAACCAAAUAUUUGGAGAAGCACUUCUGGAUCCAUAACUCUUCUUGGUUUUAAUCGAUUUCGCUCCAUCAGCUGCAAGACAUCUUUGUCUGUAGUCAUCCAGUUGUCGCAGCUCGUCUCAAGCCUUGCCUCAGGCUCUCCUUUCUCCUCCUCGGUCCCCCCCCCCCCGCCCCCCGCUCCUCUCUCUCUCUCUUCUCUCUUUCCCCUUCCUCACCCUUCCAUCUCUAAUUCUCCUAUCCUUCCCUCCCACCCACCUCCAUCUACUGUCUCCUCUUCUCAUCUCUUGUCUAGAGGACAUUUUCUCAUAAUACCAGCCAUGGUCUUGGCUGGUGUGUGUUUCAAGAUUGUUGAUCGGCUUUUCGUUGUUCUGUCAGAGAUAUAAAAUGAUUGUGGGCAUGCAGACCUUAGAUGCACCCUGUCUUUACUGAGAAUUAUGCAUGAACAAGGUCAGAUCAGCUUCCCAAGUUUUAAAAGGACUACCACGGAGGAAGACGAGCGCCCAGCCCUGCCUGCAGGUCACCCUUGGGACGGAGCCGUCACCAGCUCAAGCGCAGUAUUGCUCGUGUGCUCCUGUAACCAUCCGAUUAUCAGAUUUUGAUUUGAUUUUUUUGUGACCACCGAGAGACGGGAUCGGGGAGAGCUCAAUGUUCAGUGUGACAGCUAUCCCUUCCUUGGUGAGGAGCCUGGGGAGGUCUCUUCAGAAGUCAGUAGGAUGUGAGGGAAGUGAGGUCUCCCCACUGUUGAGAGUGCACACAGUAAGACACAGCGGUGACAAGUGACCCUUCAAGGGCAUUGGGAGGGGACUUAAUGAUCUCUGUAAAGGAACCCUGCACAUUUUAAAGCCGUUUUCCACCCACACAAAUCUCUUUCUUCUCUGAGGGGAUGGUUGAAUAAAUACAAAUUUGCCCUGCCUCUGGCUCCCUAACAUAGCCCCAAACUGGCUGCAGUGUACAGCCCUAAGGAGAGGGUCAGUGUUCAUUCUGCCAAGGGCGGAAAUGGCAGCAGCCUGCCCCUUUGGAUUCAGAUGACACUAAAGAGGUGGGGGAGGGUGUCUCUGCUUGCCUCCUUCCUUAAAUGGCACCAUGAUGGAGUCAUCUCUUGGACUCCACUAAAAGGACUAGAGACUUAUAAAUCAAAUACUCAUGAGUACCUGGCUCUGCCCAGAGAUGUCUCCUCUUACCCACCAGAAAGAUAGAUACUUUGUACAUAAGUCACCAGGCUCUCAUAAUAGCCAGUGAAGAGGGGGUCUCUCUCCUGUGUCAUAGAAGAAGCAAGGACAGCUCAGAUCCAGGAAUCUUCCCUGAGAUUAGCUGGUACCCAGUGGAGUCAGAUUCUAGCCUCGGUCUGUCCAGUUCCUUAUCCCAGCAAGGACCUGGAUGCUGUUGUGGGAGGAGGAAGGUAACUGUGGCUGGAAAGCCUGUCACUUUGCUGAGGUCAACCCUACGUGAGUGCUUGCACACGUUCAUAUAGACACAGACACACACACAGAUACACACACACCCCAUAACAGGAAACCACCUAAGAACUCUUUGGACACUGGCAGAAUAUAAUACAAAUAGAUGGGAGAGAAGCUGGUUAGGAACAUGGGAGGCAUCUGGGGGUGAGCACUACCUACCAGGCUGUGUGAGUCUAGACAAACUGUAAUUCGGGACAGUGGACUAAACAAACAAUAAAGGUGCAGCGGGGGAGGGGGAAACCAAUUGGUGUUGUCAACUUCCUUGUGAGCCUGUGUGUAAUUGUUUGAUUUAAUAAAAAUUGACCGUGGCUGUAUGUACUUUA